CCUACGGGAGGCAGCAGUGAGGAAUAUUGGUCAAUGGGCGAAAGGCUGAACCAGCCAAGCCGCGUGAAGGACGAAGGAGCUAUGCAUUGUAAACUUCUUUUGUCAAGGGAUAAAGUGAGGAACGAGAGCCUUAUUGUGGGUACCAUAAGAAUAAGCAUCGGCUAACUCCGUGCCAGCAGCCGCGGUAAUACGGAGGAUGCGAGCGUUAUCCGGAUUUAUUGGGUUUAAAGGGUGCGUAGGGGGUUAAUUAAGUCAGCGGUGAAAGUCUGUGGCUAAACCAUCAAAGUGCCGUUGAAACUGGUUGACUUGAGAAGACGUGAGGUAUGCGGAAUGCGCGGUGUAGCGGUGAAAUGCAUAGAUAUUACGCAGAACUCCGAUUGCGAAGGCAGCAUACCAAACUCUAACUGACACUGAAGCACGAAAGCGUGGGGAUCAAACAGGAUUAGAUACCCUAGUAGUC
This 460-nucleotide ribosomal RNA is filed under the name uncultured bacterium. RNAcentral's name for it is "partial 16S ribosomal RNA". It matches the Rfam family "Bacterial small subunit ribosomal RNA", at positions 338 to 795 of the family's 1533-position model. The record is from RNAcentral.